RNAcentral lists this ribosomal RNA (496 nucleotides) under uncultured bacterium. RNAcentral describes it as "partial 16S ribosomal RNA". It matches the Rfam family "Bacterial small subunit ribosomal RNA", at positions 28 to 506 of the family's 1533-position model. The record is from RNAcentral.
GAUGAACGCUGGCGGCGUGCCUAAUACAUGCAAGUCGAGCGAACAGACGAGGAGCUUGCUCCUCUGACGUUAGCGGCGGACGGGUGAGUAACACGUGGAUAACCUACCUAUAAGACUGGGAUAACUUCGGGAAACCGGAGCUAAUACCGGAUAAUAUAUUGAACCGCAUGGUUCAAUAGUGAAAGACGGUUUUGCUGUCACUUAUAGAUGGAUCCGCGCCGCAUUAGCUAGUUGGUAAGGUAACGGCUUACCAAGGCAACGAUGCGUAGCCGACCUGAGAGGGUGAUCGGCCACACUGGAACUGAGACGCGGUCCAGACUCCUACGGGAGGCAGCAGUAGGGAAUCUACCGCAAUGGGCGAAAGCCUGACGGAGCAACGCCGCGUGAGUGAUGAAGGUCUUCGGAUCGUAAAACUCUGUUAUUAGGGAAGAACAAAUGUGUAAGUAACUAUGCACGUCUUGACGGUACCUAAGCAGAAAGCCACGGCUAACUACGG